CAGGAAAAAUGAUCUGGCUCAAAGCCAACUUCCCUAUACGAGAUAGGAUUUCGAUGAGAGUAGUGUCCUCAGCAUUAGAACGGACAUCUAAGACAUCAGCACACAAAAUCACAUCAAACCAUGUCAGGCAAACGGCAUUACGGUUAUUUCCGAUGUCCAAAAUGUAACGCAAAAUGGGAGAGUGCUCAGGUCUACAGUGUGAGCGCCAAUCAGCAAGAAUACUACAAACAAGAUUGUAAGAACUGCCGAAUCGCAUGUAGUCCCUACAAAGUCGAGCCUCUCCAGUGCCCGAACUGUGGAAAGCCCGCUAAACUAUGCCAGUGUCCAAAGCGUCACACAGACCCGUCAAAGGGACACCGAAGUGACCUGUGCCACAAGUGUCAAUCAGGACGACCAUGCUACUAAUGUUGAUCCACAGUCAAAUGUUUCAGGUGUUAUAUUAAUUAUAAAAAAAAAAAAAUGUAUUCAAAAUAACAUGGAAUACGACGACGGUUAAUUACGAAAACUUCGAGAUCUUUGUAUAGUUGUAGAUUUUUCAAUAACGUGACUAGAGUUUAUCAAAGAGAACUUGUAUCUUAUCUAUAAUGUUUUAUGCCUGUAAACGGCUGUGGAAAAAAAUAAUUGAAUUCGGAUUUUCAAUCUAUAAAAAUUCAAAAAUCAUCACUAUUUUUACUUAUAUAUGUAGAUGACAAGCCAUUUUAUUUUAAUUAUGUUGAUUUUACUUAUUGCAUGGUUAGCUUAACGACAAAUUAACACAAAAUUGUAACCACACAUAUCUUCAAAAAUAACUAAAUUCGAAACUAAAAGAUUGUGUAAAAAGACUAAAAUAAAAUCAUCUUAUGACAAUAAACAAGUAUUUGAAAUUAAAUCUUAAGGAAGCAUAUACAUGUAAUAUUUUACCUGCAGAGUGCAAAGAAGGUUGUUUUAUGAACUUAAAAAAAUAUCUUAAGUACUGUAGGUGAUGUUUUAUACAAUUAUAAUUUAUUGUAUAUUUAAUAACCUCUUGACCAAAUGUAAGACGAGACGUUGACUCAACUUUGUCAUCAAGUAUAAAUAAAAAAACAAAUUAAAACUUGUUUUAAUGUAAUGUAUGCAGUCAGACUUUCUAUGCUUUUGCAUAACUUCUUUUACUUGCGGAAGGAGGUAUGUUGGCGUAUGAGUGAUGUGGUCCGACCGGUUACAUGUGCGCAUUGGUAUGUUGCGAAAUUUAGAUCAUUAUAAAAACAAAUGACGCAGCAGCUCCUAUUCAGAAGUUGAUAAAAGAAGAUGGCGAAACAAGUUUCGUACGGUUAAGGUCAAUUUUAUUUCAACUUGACAAAGUUUUGUAUUGUUUUAUCUGAACACAGAUUGUAGUAUAUAAAAGACAAAUUUGUCCCACCGCCAUCCCCUACUUUCCUCCUUUCUGAAUCUGCAUAAGUUAAUGUAUUGGUGUACAACAUUUUCUUUUGCGACUUAAGUAAUGUAUCGAUGUUAUAUCAUGUAUUUUGUGUGUAAAAAUAAUGUAUUCUAACAAGCAUUAAUAUUUCGUCAAGUAUAUUGUGUAUGGCGGAAUAGGACCCCCAUCUAAGACUCUUUGUGUCUAUUUAUAUGACAAAUUGUGAAUGUCAUAACAACCGUCGUGUAUUGUAAUAAACGGCCAUAUUCAAUUCAGA
Molecule: long non-coding RNA, 1652 nt
Filed under: Mizuhopecten yessoensis (Yesso scallop)
Lineage: Eukaryota; Metazoa; Mollusca; Bivalvia; Pectinida; Pectinidae
Description: uncharacterized LOC110465488
Source: RNAcentral